AACGAACGCUGGCGGCAUGCCUAACACAUGCAAGUCGAACGAUAUCUUCGGGUCUAGUGGCGCACGGGUGCGUAACGCGUGGGAAUCUGCCCUUUGGUUCGGAAUAACAGUUGGAAACGACUGCUAAUACCGGAUGAUGACGAAAGUCCAAAGAUUUAUCGCCAGAGGAUGAGCCCGCGUAGGAUUAGCUAGUUGGUGUGGUAGAGGCGCACCAAGGCGACGAUCCUUAGCUGGUCUGAGAGGAUGAUCAGCCACACUGGGACUGAGACACGGCCCAGACUCCUACGGGAGGCAGCAGUGGGGAAUAUUGGACAAUGGGCGAAAGCCUGAUCCAGCAAUGCCGCGUGAGUGAUGAAGGCCUUAGGGUUGUAAAGCUCUUUUACCCGGGAUGAUAAUGACAGUACCGGGAGAAUAAGCUCCGGCUAACUCCGUGCCAGCCGCCGCAGUAA
RNAcentral lists this ribosomal RNA (449 nucleotides) under uncultured bacterium. Its description in RNAcentral is "partial 16S ribosomal RNA". It matches the Rfam family "Bacterial small subunit ribosomal RNA", at positions 29 to 523 of the family's 1533-position model. The record is from RNAcentral.